RNAcentral lists this ribosomal RNA (384 nucleotides) under Triticum aestivum (bread wheat). RNAcentral's name for it is "partial small subunit ribosomal RNA". The record is from RNAcentral. Lineage: Eukaryota; Viridiplantae; Streptophyta; Magnoliopsida; Poales; Poaceae.
AUGUGCCGGAAUCUGAAAUCAAUAUCGUCAAAAUUCUGGUGGGGAGCAACGGAUGGUGAGCGGAAGGUGCAUUGGAUCUCCUGGGAAAAGAUGUGAGAGUCUCGGAAGGAGGGGGGCCUUAGCUUUAGGGACCCCGAGGUGUUCAACCAGGCGCUUCUUGCCAAGCAGGCGUGGCGUAUCUACCAGCGGCCUUCUUCAUUGUGUGCCUGUGUCUUGAAAGCUCGCUACUACCCGUGCUGUUCCAUUCUGAAUGCUACGUGCCCGACGGCGGGCUCCUUCACCUUCAGAAGCAUCAUCCAUGGAAGGGAGCUGCUAAGAGCGGGCUCAAUCUGGCGGAUCGGGGAUGGCUCAUCUAUUAAUGUUCAUCACAGCAAUUGGAUCCCA